Molecule: transfer RNA, 87 nt
Filed under: Lophium mytilinum
Lineage: Eukaryota; Fungi; Ascomycota; Dothideomycetes; Mytilinidiales; Mytilinidiaceae
Rfam family: tRNA
About the family: Transfer RNA (tRNA) molecules are approximately 80 nucleotides in length. Their secondary structure includes four short double-helical elements and three loops (D, anti-codon, and T loops).
Source: Rfam by way of RNAcentral
GCUUCUAUAGCUCAGUUGGUAGAGCGCGGCACUAGUAAUCCCAUUAUUGCCAUGCCGAGGUCCACGGUUCAAAUCCGUGUGGAAGCA